AGUUGGUUCUCCCGCAAUGCUGAUUUGUGAACUCGGUCAGGUCCGGAAGGAAGCAGCCGUAACAGAUGACGCGUGUGCCGGGAUGUGGCUGGCAGGG
This 97-nucleotide signal recognition particle RNA is filed under the name Candidatus Erwinia dacicola. Its description in RNAcentral is "Bacterial small signal recognition particle RNA". It matches the Rfam family "Bacterial small signal recognition particle RNA". From Rfam's summary of the family: The signal recognition particle (SRP) is a universally conserved ribonucleoprotein involved in the co-translational targeting of proteins to membranes. Archaeal SRP consists of a 7S RNA and homologues of the eukaryotic SRP19 and SRP54 proteins. The record is from Rfam by way of RNAcentral. Lineage: Bacteria; Pseudomonadati; Pseudomonadota; Gammaproteobacteria; Enterobacterales; Erwiniaceae.